UCCUAUUAUUAGUUCAAAAUAGGCAACUUUCAUUGAGGGCUAGGGUAUUGCAGAUAAUGUCCUAAUGGCCUAAGAAAGUAAUGUAUAUUUUAUAGAGGACGACAGAUAGAAAGAAUUAUAUGGCAAUUAAAUUAGAUAUAGACGAGGUUUAUGAUUAAGUUAGAUGUGACUUUCUCUUUCUAUCUCCAACAAAUGGAUUUUUAUAAUACAUGAAUUGACU
Molecule: long non-coding RNA, 220 nt
Filed under: Elaeis guineensis (African oil palm)
Lineage: Eukaryota; Viridiplantae; Streptophyta; Magnoliopsida; Arecales; Arecaceae
Description: long non-coding RNA (EGUI_LNC031121)
Source: RNAcentral